This 72-nucleotide transfer RNA is filed under the name Fukomys damarensis (Damara mole-rat). It matches the Rfam family "tRNA". From Rfam's summary of the family: Transfer RNA (tRNA) molecules are approximately 80 nucleotides in length. Their secondary structure includes four short double-helical elements and three loops (D, anti-codon, and T loops). Lineage: Eukaryota; Metazoa; Chordata; Mammalia; Rodentia; Bathyergidae. The record is from Rfam by way of RNAcentral.
GACUUCGUGGCACAACGGUAGCACAUCUGACUCCAGGACAGAAGGUUGCGUGUUCAAAUCACAUCGGCGUCA